AGAAGUUUGAUUCAUGGCUCAGGAUGAACGCUGGCGGCGUGCCUAAUACAUGCAAGUCGAGCGAACGGACGAGAAGCUUGCUUCUCUGAUGUUAGCGGCGGACGGGUGAGUAACACGUGGAUAACCUACCUAUAAGACUGGGAUAACUUCGGGAAACCGGAGCUAAUACCGGAUAAUAUUUUGAACCGCAUGGUUCAAAAGUGAAAGACGGUCUUGCUGUCACUUAUAGAUGGAUCCGCGCUGCAUUAGCUAGUUGGUAAGGUAACGGCUUACCAAGGCAACGAUGCAUAGCCGACCUGAGAGGGUGAUCGGCCACACUGGAACUGAGACACGGUCCAGACUCCUACGGGAGGCAGCAGUAGGGAAUCUUCCGCAAUGGGCGAAAGCCUGACGGAGCAACGCCGCGUGAGUGAUGAAGGUCUUCGGAUCGUAAAACUCUGUUAUUAGGGAAGAACAUAUGUGUAAGUAACUGUGCACAUCUUGACGGUACCUAAUCAGAAAGCCACGGCUAACUACGUGCCAGCAGCCGCGGUAAUACGUAGGUGGCAAGCGUUAUCCGGAAUUAUUGGGCGUAAAGCGCGCGUAGGCGGUUUUUUAAGUCUGAUGUGAAAGCCCACGGCUCAACCGUGGAGGGUCAUUGGAAACUGGAAAACUUGAGUGCAGAAGAGGAAAGUGGAAUUCCAUGUGUAGCGGUGAAAUGCGCAGAGAUAUGGAGGAACACCAGUGGCGAAGGCGACUUUCUGGUCUGUAACUGACGCUGAUGUGCGAAAGCGUGGGGAUCAAACAGGAUUAGAUACCCUGGUAGUCCACGCCGUAAACGAUGAGUGCUAAGUGUUAGGGGGUUUCCGCCCCUUAGUGCUGCAGCUAACGCAUUAAGCACUCCGCCUGGGGAAG
This 894-nucleotide ribosomal RNA is filed under the name Staphylococcus aureus. Its description in RNAcentral is "bacterial SSU rRNA". It matches the Rfam family "Bacterial small subunit ribosomal RNA", at positions 1 to 881 of the family's 1533-position model. The record is from RNAcentral. Lineage: Bacteria; Bacillati; Bacillota; Bacilli; Caryophanales; Staphylococcaceae.